Molecule: ribosomal RNA, 511 nt
Filed under: Anisakidae sp. 1 JB-2022
Lineage: Eukaryota; Metazoa; Nematoda; Chromadorea; Rhabditida; Anisakidae
Description: partial large subunit ribosomal RNA
Source: RNAcentral
UUUGAGAGAGAGUUCAAGAGGGCGUGAAACCGCCGAGAUUGAAACGGAUAGAGUUGACGAAACUCGAUCGCAUUCAUCCGAUCCGCCUAGCGGKUCGGCGGUUGUUGACUUCCUCGAUGAGGGCAACGCCGUCSCUGGCUGUUGGGUGCUAGAUUGGUGUAUUUGCGGUCGGUAUGCGCCGAGAGCUUUGCGAGCGCAUGUUGACGUUGAUGUAGUGGACCACUCCCUCCGGGCGUGGAACCCUGCAUUGAUUGAGGCAUGUCGUUCGUAGGGUGUUGCUGGGUGACGUCUCCGCUAUGGUGGGUCGGCUUUGUUGGGCUGUUGCGGUUGCUGGGUGAUCGCAUGCGAGCGCCUGUAGCUUGCGAUGGKACGAUGAGGUGCGGACGCGCUUGAGACGUGCAUCUCGGUGUGAACGUUGACCACCUAUCCGACCCGUCUUGAAACACGGACCAAGGAGGUCUAACAACGAUGUCGGCAACCCACCCGACCCGUCUUGAAACACGGACCAAGG